UAAAGCAAAAGAAAAAUUGAAAUCAUAAAAAGGUAGAGCCCCAUUUCAUCUGCUCCGAUCUAAUCCGCAAACUACCGCAUCUUCUCCGAAAAAAAUCCAGCUUGCAGAUCUCCAUUCAUAUAUAAUCACCUCCACACAAACUAAAUUUACAUGAUACACAAAUUUUGUGUGAAAUCAUUUUAUUACAAAAUUUCUCAAUGAAGUUAUUAUUCGAACCAAUAGAGACUUCAAUUUGACUGACUUAGAUCUAAAUUUCCGUAGAUUUACGUGAUAUUCUAGAGAAUUUCAGUUUAUUGUCCUUUGAAAUGGCCUCAAAUAUACUUUCUCGGGAUCUUCCCAAACUUCAUCCAAUCUUAAUCGGGCUUAAUCCAGAUAAAUCUUCCAUUCCUUCGACAGACAUUUAGUUUUCUUUGGUUCUCACCUAUGAUUUAUUCUCCCUGUAGGUUGAACCCCUAAAGGAGUUGAUACCACUGCUUAAGACAACAAAAACACAGGAUUCCAACUUGCGUACUCGUACAUUGAAUGUAUUGAUACCAUUUGGCCUGCAUCGUCUGAUGAUGAAGAUGCACGUAACUAGGAUCAGCACGGGGUGUUUCGUUGAUCCAGUAAGCAGCUCAAAGUCAGUUGGUUCAUUCCAUUGAAGUGUAGGAGGCCAUUUUUCAAGAAAAGUUGGAACCAUUUCUUAAGUUAUUGGUAGGCCAUCAUGUUAGGGGAUAUUACCAUUUCUCUAUUCUAGCUAUGAUCUUGUUAUGUCUAAAGACACUUGUUGAUUCCUUUCCAUUGAGACUAUUGAUGUAAGCCUAUAAUGGAAUGUUGUACUUGUGUAUGCGAUUAUGCCUAACUUUGUAAUACUCGUCAGAUGGUUUAAUG
Solanum lycopersicum (tomato) is the source of this 870-nucleotide non-coding RNA. NCBI's taxonomy places the organism in Eukaryota, Viridiplantae, Streptophyta, Magnoliopsida, Solanales, Solanaceae. The record is from RefSeq and is a predicted model, not a curated record.